GUGACCUAGAAAAUGGGCUGACUGGACUUUUAGAGCUGUGACUUUGAUUUCCCUCUGUCUGUGUCUGUGCAAAAUUUCUCAGUCAUUAGGUUAUGGAAUCCAUGGUUAUCAUCAAAAUUAAAGAGAAUGAAAGCUUUGCUACGAAGGAUUGGGAGCUGCGAGUAUGUUAGUCACUCCUCCACAUGAUACAUGAGUGGCAGUACAGUUGUGCCAUUUGAAAAAGCUAAAAGGGCACAUUCUGGAUCCUGAAUUUUGGGUGUGGUUCGUGUAAGAAGGAUGACCUGAAGCUCCAAUGAUCAGUGGAUCAUAGUCAAAGAAAAGACUCUCCAUACAGAUUAACAUGGGUAAACGAAUAUUUUAAGUAGCAAAAAACAUCACAGCCCUGCUGCCAAUCACCUGGGAACCACGCUUCUCUUUGGCGCCUGAAAACAACUGAACUGAAGCAUGGACCGAGGAAGUUUCCCUCCUCACCAGGACUCUCCUCUGAUGCCCUUCCUGACACAGGGUGGAGGACUCUACACGUGAGAGAAGACUUACAUCGUCUGCUUGACUUCUUGAUCCAUUCAGCACCCAAGCACCUUGCCAGACAUUGUGCUGAAUGCUUAGGAUCCAAGAUAAAAGGCCAAGAAGCUAUCUGUUCCUGGGGAGCUCUCUACUCUACUCUGAUUUGAGUGUGGAGGUCUGUGAUAGACAAUAAAUGAAUAUACACAUACGUAAAGAACAAUUUCUGUAAUUGCAGGUUGUCAUUAGGCCUGAGAAGG
Molecule: long non-coding RNA, 761 nt
Filed under: Equus asinus (donkey)
Lineage: Eukaryota; Metazoa; Chordata; Mammalia; Perissodactyla; Equidae
Description: lncRNA (ENSEASG00005025836.1)
Source: RNAcentral